RNAcentral lists this ribosomal RNA (497 nucleotides) under uncultured bacterium. RNAcentral's name for it is "partial 16S ribosomal RNA". It matches the Rfam family "Bacterial small subunit ribosomal RNA", at positions 28 to 507 of the family's 1533-position model. The record is from RNAcentral.
GAUGAACGCUGGCGGCGUGCCUAAUACAUGCAAGUCGAGCGAACAGACGAGGAGCUUGCUCCUCUGACGUUAGCGGCGGACGGGUGAGUAACACGUGGAUAACCUACCUAUAAGACUGGGAUAACUUCGGGAAACCGGAGCUAAUACCGGAUAAUAUAUUGAACCGCAUGGUUCAAUAGUGAAAGACGGUUUUGCUGUCACUUAUAGCUGGAUCCGCGCCGCAUUAGCUAGUUGGUAAGGUAACGGCUUACCAAGGCCACGCUGCGUAGCCGACCUGCGAGGGUGAUCGGCCACACGGGAACUGGGACACGGGCCAGACGCCUACGGGAGGCAGCAGUAGGGAAUCUUCCGCAAUGGGCGAAAGCCUGACGGAGCAACGCCGCGUGAGGGAUGAAGGUCUUCGGAUCGUAAAACUCUGUUAUUAGGGAAGAACAAAUGUGUAAGUAACUAUGCACGUCUUGACGGUACCGAAUCAGAAAGCCACGGCUAACUACGUG